RNAcentral lists this transfer RNA (69 nucleotides) under Elaptus prionoides. Its description in RNAcentral is "tRNA-Gln". The record is from RNAcentral. Lineage: Eukaryota; Metazoa; Arthropoda; Insecta; Coleoptera; Cerambycidae.
UGUGCUUUAGUAUAUGAUGUAUAUAAGUUUUUGAUACUUAGGGAGGCGGUUUAACCCCGCCAGGCGCAA